RNAcentral lists this RNase P RNA (376 nucleotides) under Hyphomicrobiales bacterium. RNAcentral's name for it is "RNase P RNA component class A". It matches the Rfam family "Bacterial RNase P class A". From Rfam's summary of the family: Ribonuclease P (RNase P) is a ubiquitous endoribonuclease, found in archaea, bacteria and eukarya as well as chloroplasts and mitochondria. Its best characterised activity is the generation of mature 5'-ends of tRNAs by cleaving the 5'-leader elements of precursor-tRNAs. The record is from RNAcentral. Lineage: Bacteria; Pseudomonadati; Pseudomonadota; Alphaproteobacteria; Hyphomicrobiales.
CCAGUCGGCCGGGCGGCCGCUCCCGCGAGGGAGAGGAAAGUCCGGGCUCCACGGAGACACGGCGCCGGACAACGUCCGGCGGGGGCGACCCCAGGGACAGCGCCACAGAAAACGGACCGCCGGCCAUCCGGCCGGUCAGGGUGAAAAGGUGCGGUAAGAGCGCACCGCGGACGCGGCGACGCGGACGGCAUGGCAAGCCCCGCCGGGAGCAAAACCGAAUAGGGACGACAGGCGGCGCAAGCCGUGGAGCCCGUUUCCGGGCGGUCGUCCGGGUUGGUCGCAUGAGGCGCCCGGCGACGGGCGUCCCAGAGGAAUGGCCGCCGGCGCGGGGGCGACUCCGCGCGCACAGAACCCGGCUUAUAGGCCGACUGGCGCU